Molecule: long non-coding RNA, 1066 nt
Organism: Pogoniulus pusillus (Red-fronted tinkerbird)
Lineage: Eukaryota; Metazoa; Chordata; Aves; Piciformes; Lybiidae
Exons: 2
Source: RefSeq, a predicted model, not a curated record
GAGGUUUCAGCCCAGCACCAGCUCAUGCGGGAGGAGCAGAUGCUGAGGAACAUCCCCCACGAGACGCAGGUGGCCAAAGAGGCUGGGUCAGGAGAGUCCCAUUUCAUUCUUGAUGCUUUCUUUAAGAGAGGCAUACAACUGAGCUCCCUCAGAGAAGCAGCAUGAAGUGCAUGAAGGAUGCUGGCUGCACUCAGUACAGACAAGGCACAUUGGAGUAGGUUAACAAGAUGCUUGACAUUUGCCCUUAAUGGUCAUUGUCUUCAAAUGCAUCAUUCGGGAGUUAAGUUGCUUGGCAUUUGCAGUUGACUACUUCUUCUCUGGCCUUUGGAGUGAAGGAAGGGAAAAACCAGAGUUGAACACGUCAGCUCUGUAAGUUUUCUCUGGGUGAUCAAAGCAUGCACAAAAUCCUGUGCUUGUGCUCUGGAAGAUUGUAGGAGCUUCCCGGGGACUCAGGGAGCACAAGUUCUGAUAAAGAAAGAUGUGAAUGGAAGCAGGCUCUUACUCCUCUGUGUAACUGAUGAGAAGCUUUCUGAAGGAGGUGAAUUUGUUUUACAGCCCUUCACUCAGCUGGUUACAGAUCUUCAAGGUAGCUGCUGGUGCAGUGUCUCUUGGAGACUGUUAGCCACUCUGAAGGAGGGAGUUAGUGGAGCAUCAUAGGAACAUGUAGAGAGAUUGGUCAGGAAAAGGCAUUUGUGUUACCCUUUUUAGUCAUUUGAGUCACUUUUAUUGUAAUCCCAUGCCUGAGAGCAGGACUCCUUUGUGUCCAGGGUUAAAAUCUUCAAGGAGAAACAGUGCCAAGGCUCUGAAUUGAUUGGGACUUGGUGCUGCUAGUUACAGUGUAGGACAGUUAAGGCAGUCCUGUGUUUUGUGAUUUGCCUUUUUUCCUACCGUUCUAGUUUUGGCUCGGGCUAGUGUGAAGUGUCUCUGGAACGAGGUCCUUGUGGUCCCUUCUGACCCUGACUGAUUCUGUGAUUCCAGCAAGCAGCUUUUGCCUUAAAAACCCCUGAGGUCACUGCAGCACCUCUCUAUGGAAUAAAAGAAAGGGAUUUUGCUGCACUGCUGAGAA